RNAcentral lists this ribosomal RNA (280 nucleotides) under uncultured bacterium. RNAcentral's name for it is "partial 16S ribosomal RNA". It matches the Rfam family "Bacterial small subunit ribosomal RNA", at positions 506 to 784 of the family's 1533-position model. The record is from RNAcentral.
UGCCAGCAGCCGCGGUAAUACGAAGGGACCUAGCGUAGUUCGGAAUUAUUGGGCGUAAAGGGCUCGUAGGCGGUUCGGUAAGUCGGGUGUGAAAACUCAGGGCUCAACCCUGAGACGCCACUCGAUACUGCCAUGACUAGAGUCCGGUAGGGGAGUGCGGAAUUCCUGGUGUAGCGGUGAAAUGCGCAGAUAUCAGGAGGAACACCGACAGCGAAGGCAGCACUCUGGGCCGGUACUGACGCUGAGGAGCGAAAGCGUGGGGAGCAAACAGGAUUAGAUA